CAGAGAAGAUUAGCAAAGCUUUAGUUUUUAGUUUUAGCUUAAAACAACAAUGACAAUAUAUAGUUUGGUUUCUGUUCUGUUAUUUGGUGUCUUAUGCCCUUCCAGUAGGUUCGUAGAUUACAUCUGUUUUAUCAUAUGCGUCCAAGUAGAGAUGUUGUGGUGGGUAAAAAGGCUCAGCCCGACCUGAAUCCAAAAUAAACCCGCCCACCAAAAACCCAACUUUAGAAAACUCAUAUGGGUUUUUGAUUUAGUGGGUAAAGCCCGAAAAAAACUGAUUGUUCUGAGACUACUCAUGGGUACCCAACUUGGUUUUUAUCAUUUUUUUUAAGUUUAUGUUUAACUGUUAAUACACUAUUAUAUGUAUGUUGUAUAUAUAUUUUGCUUAUAAAUAUAUUUUAAAUUAUAUU
RNAcentral lists this small RNA (407 nucleotides) under Arabidopsis thaliana (thale cress). RNAcentral's name for it is "ATSL185850". Lineage: Eukaryota; Viridiplantae; Streptophyta; Magnoliopsida; Brassicales; Brassicaceae. The record is from RNAcentral.